AUUGAACGCUGGCGGCAGGCUUAACACAUGCAAGUCGAGCGGGGUGAUGGUGCUUGCACUAUCACUUAGCGGCGGACGGGUGAGUUAUGCUUAGGAAUCUGCCUAUUAGUGGGGGACAACAUCUCGAAAGGGAUGCUAAUACCGCAUACGUCCUACGGGAGAAAGCAGGGGAUCACUUGUGACCUCGCGCUAAUAGAUGAGCCCAAGUCGGAUUAGCUAGUUGGUGGGGUAAAGGCCUACCAAGGCGACGAUCUGUAGCGGGUCUGAGAGGAUGAUCAGCCACACUGGGACUGAGACACGGCCCAGACUCCUACGGGAGGCAGCAGUGGGGAAUAUUGGACAAUGGGGGGAACCCUGAUCCAGCCAUGCCGCGUGUGUGAAGAAGGCCUUAUGGUUGUAAAGCACUUUAAGCGAGGAGGAGGCUCUUUUGGUUAAUACCCAAGAUGAGUGGACGUUACUCGCAGAAUAAGCACCGGCUAACUCUGUGCCAGCCGCCGCCGUAA
Molecule: ribosomal RNA, 503 nt
Filed under: uncultured bacterium
Lineage: Bacteria
Description: partial 16S ribosomal RNA
Rfam family: Bacterial small subunit ribosomal RNA
Source: RNAcentral